AACGAACGCUGGCGGCAGGCCUAACACAUGCAAGUCGAACGCCGUAGCAAUACGGAGUGGCAGACGGGUGAGUAACACGUGGGAACAUACCCUUCGGUUCGGAAUAACUCAGGGAAACUUGAGCUAAUACCGGAUACGUCCGCGAGGAGAAAGAUUCAUCGCCGGAGGAUUGGCCCGCGUCUGAUUAGCUUGUUGGUGAGGUAAUGGCUCACCAAGGCGACGAUCGGUAGCNGGUCUGAGAGGAUGAUCAGCCACAUUGGGACUGAGACACGGCCCAAACUCCUACGGGAGGCAGCAGUGGGGAAUAUUGGUCAAUGGACGCAAGUCUGAACCAGCCAUGCCGCGUGAAGGAUGAAGGCGUUCUGCGUUGUAAACUUCUUUUAUCUGGGAAGAAAUCUCUAUUUUCCAAUAGAGUUGACGGGUACCAGAGGAAUAAGCACCGGCUAACUCCGUGCCAGCAGCCGCCGCCGUAAC
Molecule: ribosomal RNA, 474 nt
Filed under: uncultured bacterium
Lineage: Bacteria
Description: bacterial SSU rRNA
Rfam family: Bacterial small subunit ribosomal RNA
Source: RNAcentral